GUCCACGCUGUAAACGAUGGGUGCUAGCUGUGGUGGGUAUUGACCCCUGCCGUGGCGACGCUAACGCAAUAAGCACCCCGCCUGGGGAGUACGGUCGCAAGAUUAAAACUCAAAGGAAUUGACGGGGGCCCGCACAAGCGGUGGAGCAUGUGGUUUAAUUCGACGCAACGCGCAGAACCUUACCCAGACUUGACAUCCAUGGAAUCCUGCAGAAAUGUGGGAGUGCCCGCAAGGGAACCAUGAGACAGGUGCUGCAUGGCUGUCGU
Molecule: ribosomal RNA, 266 nt
Filed under: uncultured bacterium
Lineage: Bacteria
Description: partial 16S ribosomal RNA
Rfam family: Bacterial small subunit ribosomal RNA
Source: RNAcentral